UGGGGAAUAUUGGACAAUGGGGGCAACCCUGAUCCAGCCAUGCCGCGUGUGUGAAGAAGGCCUUUUGGUUGUAAAGCACUUUAAGCAGGGAGGAGAGGCUAAUGGUUAAUACCCAUUAGAUUAGACGUUACCUGCAGAAUAAGCACCGGCUAACUCUGUGCCAGCAGCCGCGGUAAUACAGAGGGUGCGAGCGUUAAUCGGAACUACUGGGCGUAAAGCGAGUGUAGGUGGCUCAUUAAGUCACAUGUGAAAUCCCCGGGCUUAACCUGGGAACUGCAUGUGAUACUGGUGGUGCUAGAAUAUGUGAGAGGGAAGUAGAAUUCCAGGUGUAGCGGUGAAAUGCGUAGAGAUCUGGAGGAAUACCGAUGGCGAAGCAGCUUCCUGGCAUAAUAUUGACACUGAGAUUCGAAAGCGUGGGUAGCAAACAGGAUUAGAUACCCUGGUAGUCCACGCCGUAAACGAUGUCUACUAGCCGUUGGGUCCUUGAGACUUUAGUGGCGCAGUUAACGCGAUAAGUAGACCGCCUGGGGAGUACGGCC
RNAcentral lists this ribosomal RNA (539 nucleotides) under uncultured bacterium. RNAcentral describes it as "partial 16S ribosomal RNA". It matches the Rfam family "Bacterial small subunit ribosomal RNA", at positions 355 to 887 of the family's 1533-position model. The record is from RNAcentral.